This 497-nucleotide ribosomal RNA is filed under the name uncultured bacterium. RNAcentral describes it as "partial 16S ribosomal RNA". It matches the Rfam family "Bacterial small subunit ribosomal RNA", at positions 28 to 507 of the family's 1533-position model. The record is from RNAcentral.
GAUGAACGCUGGCGGCGUGCCUAAUACAUGCAAGUCGAGCGAACGGACGAGAAGCUUGCUUCUCUGAUGUUAGCGGCGGACGGGUGAGUAACACGUGGAUAACCUACCUAUAAGACUGGGAUAACUUCGGGAAACCGGAGCUAAUACCGUAUAAUAUUUUGAACCGCAUGGUUCAAAAGUGAAAGACGGUCUUGCUGUCACUUAUAGAUGGAUCCGCGCUGCAUUAGCUAGUUGGUAAGGUAACGGCUUACCAAGGCAACGAUGCAUAGCCGACCUGAGAGGGUGAUCGGCCACACUGGAACUGAGACACGGUCCAGACUCCUACGGGAGGCAGCAGUAGGGAAUCUUCCGCAAUGGGCGAAAGCAUGACGGAGCAACGCCGCGUGAGUGAUGAAGGUCUUCGGAUCGUAAAACUCUGUUAUUAGGGAAGAACAUAUGUGUAAGUAACUGUGCACAUCUUGACGGUACCUAAUCAGAAAGCAACGGCUAACUACGUG